CGUUGGUCUGCUGGUAAUAUGUUCCACGAAAAGUAAAAUAUGACUUGUAGCAUAGCAAAUCAGCAAUGUCUCUUAAGAGUCUUUCUCUUCCUCGUACAUACAGCAGGUUCUCCAUCAGAAAUUAGUACAACGUUUUAAGCAUACUGGUUUCAACUUCAGUGAGGGAUGCAAACUGUCGUAGUCGAAUACUGCCAUAACAUAGUGGAGUUGCCAAUCAAUCAUUCUGACUCUAUGCAAAACUUCGGUCAUGGUGGUGAUAGAAUUCACAGUCUGGCCCAAUAUUGUCAUGCUCCAGCUAGCUAUGGCCUUCUCUAGAUUAUACAUAGGGGCAUCAUGUAUAAUCAACUUCAAUUUCAACUUCUCAACUUCAAUUUUAAAUUUUAAAUUUUUGUUGUUAUAUUUAAAAGUGUUAUAUUUUAUUUAUUUGAGGUCUUAUAAGUUUGUUUCUCCA
This 451-nucleotide long non-coding RNA is filed under the name Androctonus crassicauda. The record is from RNAcentral. Lineage: Eukaryota; Metazoa; Arthropoda; Arachnida; Scorpiones; Buthidae.